RNAcentral lists this ribosomal RNA (253 nucleotides) under uncultured bacterium. Its description in RNAcentral is "partial 16S ribosomal RNA". It matches the Rfam family "Bacterial small subunit ribosomal RNA", at positions 524 to 776 of the family's 1533-position model. The record is from RNAcentral.
UACGUAGGCAGCGAGCGUUGUUCGGAGUUACUGGGCGUAAAGCGUGCGUAGGCGGUGUCUUAAGUUUGUUGUGAAAUCUCCCGGCUUAACCGGGAGGGUGCGGCGAAUACUGAGAUGCUGGAGUGCCGGAGAGGUAAGCGGAAUUCCUGGUGUAGCGGUGAAAUGCGUAGAUAUCAGGAGGAACACCUGCGGUGUAGACGGCUUACUGGACAGUAACUGACGCUGAGGCACGAAAGCGUGGGUAGCAAACAGG